This 800-nucleotide ribosomal RNA is filed under the name Kurthia gibsonii. RNAcentral describes it as "bacterial SSU rRNA". It matches the Rfam family "Bacterial small subunit ribosomal RNA", at positions 60 to 844 of the family's 1533-position model. The record is from RNAcentral. Lineage: Bacteria; Bacillati; Bacillota; Bacilli; Caryophanales; Caryophanaceae.
AGUCGAGCGAAUGACGAGAAGCUUGCUUCUCUGAUUUAGCGGCGGACGGGUGAGUAACACGUGGGCAACCUGCCCUACAGAUUGGGAUAACUCAGGGAAACCUGGGCUAAUACCGAAUAAUCCUUCGAAUCACAUGUUUUGAAGUUGAAAGGCGCUUCGGCGUCACUGUAGGAUGGGCCCGCGGUGCAUUAGCUAGUUGGUGGGGUAACGGCCUACCAAGGCAACGAUGCAUAGCCGACCUGAGAGGGUGAUCGGCCACAUUGGGACUGAGACACGGCCCAAACUCCUACGGGAGGCAGCAGUAGGGAAUCUUCCACAAUGGACGAAAGUCUGAUGGAGCAACGCCGCGUGAGUGAUGAAGGUUUUCGGAUCGUAAAACUCUGUUGUAAGGGAAGAACAAGUACGUUAGGAAAUGAACGUACCUUGACGGUACCUUAUUAGAAAGCCACGGCUAACUACGUGCCAGCAGCCGCGGUAAUACGUAGGUGGCAAGCGUUGUCCGGAUUUAUUGGGCGUAAAGCGCGCGCAGGUGGUUUCUUAAGUCUGAUGUGAAAGCCCACGGCUCAACCGUGGAGGGUCAUUGGAAACUGGGGAACUUGAGUGCAGAAGAGGAUAGUGGAAUUCCAAGUGUAGCGGUGAAAUGCGUAGAGAUUUGGAGGAACACCAGUGGCGAAGGCGACUGUCUGGUCUGUAACUGACACUGAGGCGCGAAAGCGUGGGGAGCAAACAGGAUUAUAUACCCUGGUAGUCCACGCCGUAAACGAUGAGUGCUAAGUGUUAGGGGGUUUCCGCCCCUUAGU